This 72-nucleotide transfer RNA is filed under the name Staphylococcus hominis. Its description in RNAcentral is "tRNA-Met". It matches the Rfam family "tRNA". Rfam says of the family: Transfer RNA (tRNA) molecules are approximately 80 nucleotides in length. Their secondary structure includes four short double-helical elements and three loops (D, anti-codon, and T loops). The record is from RNAcentral. Lineage: Bacteria; Bacillati; Bacillota; Bacilli; Caryophanales; Staphylococcaceae.
CGCGGGAUGGAGCAGUUCGGUAGCUCGUCGGGCUCAUAACCCGAAGUCGGUGGUUCAAAUCCGCCUCCCGCA